Schistosoma mansoni is the source of this 45-nucleotide non-coding RNA. Lineage: Eukaryota; Metazoa; Platyhelminthes; Trematoda; Strigeidida; Schistosomatidae. The record is from Rfam.
AUCCAACUGACGAGUCCCAAGUAGGACGAAACGCGCGUCCUGGAU